Non-coding RNA from Mycena leptocephala, 95 nucleotides. NCBI's taxonomy places the organism in Eukaryota, Fungi, Basidiomycota, Agaricomycetes, Agaricales, Mycenaceae. The record is from the annotation of a GenBank genome assembly.
GACCUGAUAGCACAGUUGGUUAGUGUGUCUGUUGAAGUUACUAUCUGCUGAAGCUUUGUUGAUAGAUGACCCCGGUUCGAACCCGGGUCAGGUCA